UGGUGGAAUUCCACUUGACUUUAUUUGCAAAGUUUUUUGCAAAUGUGAUUGUUUUACAAGUCUGUUUUUGCUGUCUUGUUUUUCUUUUAUGGUCACCUACUUUUUUAUAUAGCUCUUUUUGCCUUCAUCUUCAGUAACAGUUUCUGGUUUUGGUCAUGGAUGACUUUGUUCGCAAGAUAUUAAAUGACUGGGGUCUAAACGAGUGGAUAGGAACCUUUGAAGAUGGAGGCAUUAACAUGGAAAAUCUUUACUGCCUUGAGGAUCAAGACAUUGAAAAUUUGAUUUCCAAAGUGGGACCAAGAGCAUAUUUUAGAAAGCAACUAAAGCUGUUAAAGG
Girardinichthys multiradiatus is the source of this 336-nucleotide long non-coding RNA. RefSeq lists it as uncharacterized. The transcript has 3 exons. NCBI's taxonomy places the organism in Eukaryota, Metazoa, Chordata, Actinopteri, Cyprinodontiformes, Goodeidae. The record is from RefSeq and is a predicted model, not a curated record.